Long non-coding RNA from Cygnus olor (mute swan), 570 nucleotides. RefSeq lists it as uncharacterized. The transcript is spliced from 3 exons. NCBI's taxonomy places the organism in Eukaryota, Metazoa, Chordata, Aves, Anseriformes, Anatidae. The record is from RefSeq and is a predicted model, not a curated record.
GAUGUUCUUGUUCAUUCAGCUAACUCCUUUUUGAUGUGAUACCUACUGGCAGGGUUGUGUGGUGAAUUCAACUUCUUUGACAGCCAUCAGCCCCACUGACCAGUAGUUUCAGUUUUUGUAGUUAGGGGAAAGAUGAGAAAAAAUAUUUCCAUAAUUUGGAUUUUUUUUUCAGCUGCUGGAUCGAAAGCCCCUGCCAACAGCUAUCUAAAUCAACACCAUGCCAACAUGUUCUGUAGUCCGAAGGUCACUCAAACAUCUGGCCCCACAGUCUUGUUCUUUAAGUGCCUUAUGGUUAACUUCUGGAUGUAUUGUUUCAAAACAAUGAGGAACUUCUUGCUUUAUUCUAUAAAGGGGUAGUAAAUCAUGACUCAGGAAAUGUCUCAGCUGAAGGUCAUUGCAUAAGGAAGCAGAGGUACUGAGACAGAAAGUUUGUCCACAUUUUUGUAUAACAACUGCGGUUGAUAUCACCUGCAGGAAUCAGAAGGUUUCAUCCUGUUGCUGGUGCUAGCAUCAGAAAAAUGUAGGUGCUUUCUGAGAAAAAUAAAGCAGAUUUGCACAUCAGAAAAUUUG